UACAAAGCACGGAUGAACUAAAGAUGCCUAAUUUAUUUAGUAAGCAAAUGUCUACAACUUUAGUCGGCUGAUGAAGAUACGAUAACGUUUUCAUAAGUGAGAUGUUUCGGAUAUUACGGACUCAUAAAAUGGACAUUUGUUGUCAGAUUAUCAGGGUCCGUUGUAACGGGAGUCGACUGUAUGUAGUCGGCUGGGACGUGGGAAAAAUACAUACUAAUCAGCUAUACGCCUUAACCCAAAACCACGAAUUAGCCGUGACUUUCCUUUCAAAAGUUUCUUUCUUGAAGUUUGUUUGUUUCGGACAAUCAUGUACAGAUUUUCCAUGGACGCUGGCGAAAAAGCAAAUAAAUGCGUGAAAAAGCGCCAGCUACCCAUAAGCACAAACUCUCAGCGGGUAUAACAAAAAAAGAAGUAAAGACGGCAAUUCAUAGUUUAAGAAAGUCAAAGUAGUGGGAACCACAUAUAACUGCAAGGAUACACAAUAUAUGUAAAGUAUGAUGACUUCAACAGUAAUUAUACAAACACUGGACGAUAUAAUGAACAACAUUGAAAACAUAACAACAAUUCCGUACAACAAAGGUGAUCAUUUGCCUACAUAGUCAUCCCUACUGAAAUGAUGGGAAGGUAUGCAUUGUUUUUUUUUUUUUUUUUCAGAGUGUGGACAGAAGUGCUUCUUUCGAUAAUGGACAGUGCAUUAGGGUGUUUGUGUAAGGAAUCUGGUAUUAAGUAAUCAAGCUUGUGGAUACCGUAGUUUGUGCGCAGCUUUUCCUUUCUAUAAAACGUAUGUCACAAAUCGUGGCAGUGUUCUCUCCGAAGGUACUUAUUUACGAAACCAGAUGGAUCAGAUACUUCUUAGUUACAUGUUAGAGUAGCUAUUUUCUUAUUGAGUAUAUUACCUACAGUCAGGAUUUGUCGCUCUUUAAAUAUUGGAGCUGUGUGACAAUGGUAUGGUUCACCUUCGAUAAUGUGUAAUACUCUUUUUGGAGCACAAGUUUACUUUCCAUCUUAGUUUUUGUCGUAGUACCCUACACAAGUAGACAGUAAUGAAUGUGUGAGUGUACCAAAGUGUAGUACAGCUGUUUCUUUAACCACACUAGAAUCAAGCUUCGCAAUUUACAAUAUAAUACCAAUCCCUCGCGACACAUUUGCAUAGACCAAUCUAGGUAUUCGUUAAAAAGUAUACGAAGAAAUGUGUACGAUGUAACUCGGUCAUUUACUUGAUUAGGAAAAUGAAGAAAGUUCUCGUCAGGAGCUGGUUUAUUACGAGGUCUAAAUGUAACAUACUUUCUUUUUGUUAUGUUCAUUCUAAACUGUUAAUUUUAAGCCAAUUUGACAGUUCCUGUAGCCAAUCGUUAGCCUGAUCAUGUAAUAAUCUUAAUUCCGUGCCAAAAAAGAAAGCGUUGGUUAAUAUAAUGUUAAAUGUGGUGUGUGUGGUACAUUUACGAUAUCAUUUACAUAAAUAAGAAAAAAAAAGCGGCCCAAGAAUUGACCCGUGAGGAACACCGCAUGUUAUAUGCCCCAUCCCAGAUCUGAAGUCAUUAAUGGCAGUGUAUUGAACGCGAUAUUUAAGGCAGCUUUCAAUCAGAUCUAAAGCUACUCCUCUAGUUCAUGUUUGUACAGUUUGCCUAAUAAUAUGUUACGCUUUUAGUCAAAUGCUUUACAGAAAUCAAGGAACAAGCCUAAAGUGUACAGUGUGUGCUCGAAGUUGGCAAUCGUUUUAUCUUUAGUUUCCAAUAGGGCCGCUUCAGUAGAUUUUUGUUUUUGAAAGCCAUACUGCUGCCUAUUUAUGUUGUUUUGUUGAAAAAACUUAGAAAACCUAGAAUAAAUUACCUGUUCAAGAACUUUUGAGAAUAUCGGCAAGACUGAGAUCGGCCGGUGAUUGCCAGGUCGCCUUUGUCGCCUCCUUUGAAAAUUGCUUUCACCAGAGUGGCUGAACAAUGAUAGGAGAAAUCGCUUUUAUAGGCUGAGGCUUCAUUUUGUCUAUGCCACAUGCACUAUCAUUUUUUAUUUUCUGCAGGUGGUCAUGAAUCUCUGAUUCAGUAGCGGGAGUGAAGAAUAUCAACGACACAGCACAACACCUUUUCAGCUGCAGCACCGUCAUUGGCCUAAAGGUCUACCAGCGGUUAGAGGAGCCUGAUCUGAAAGACUGCCAUGGAACUGGUUAACAGCCUGUUCGAUGCCCUCAAUGUGAAGCUUCCCCUGCUGGGAAUACGAAGUUCAUCAAAGGAAAUUGAGGGAACAUGAAUGAGGAACAGACCUUUGUGCUUGCCACUGCAGCCGACAGCGUGAAAAGGGGAAGGAAGGACAAACUUUCAUCCCAUGAAAGACUCCAGGAGAAAGUAGAAGCAAAGUUGGCGGAGAUAUGUUCUACUACGCAGAAUGCAGCGCUUACAGCACCUGAUCAUGGAUACUCCACACCAGCAGCACUUGACUGUGUUGUUUACUUCUUGUGCGGCUACCUUGUUCACUCUUUUCUCAAACGUAAUAGAUGCUCUGACUGUAUACGUAGCAUCCAGCCCCGAAAUGCAGAGUGCCCAGAGGCAUGAUGCCGCAUCAUGGGAGCUUUUCUGUAUGUUUCGAGGCAUUGAAAACAAGAUUUCAGAUGAGUUGCAAUGGAACCGGCUCUGUUCUGACACGUUUUGGGCCCUUCUUGACGCGCUUGGGGACUGUGAUGUGACAAGUGCCGGUUGUCCCAUUCACAAGGACACCGCUAAUGCAGAGCUUCUUCAUUCAUACAUUGUGCUACGAAUGCAUUUUGGCGCAAAAAAAUGCCUGCAAGAGCCUCAGCUAUUCAGAAAAAGUCACACCUGCCAGAAAGAAAGUCAAGUUAAUGUGAAGGCUUCGUGUACAGCUUCCUUCACUGUAAACAGUUUUCCGAUUAUAAAUAUGUCCCUGUAAUUAAUUCACCUGCUGCAUUCCCUUUCACAACAUCAAAUAAAAGUUACAAGGCAUUUUUUCCUGCUUUUGCUGGUUGAAUUUGUAGGCUUUCCCGCAGUUUUUUUCCUCGCUUAAGGCGUGUUCAGGUAAGAUUGGAAUAUGGUUGAGUAUUUGGGGAUCCUAGGUUGAUUUGUUAAGUGUACUGGUGAAAAAUAAACAUCAAUUACAAUGGAGAGUGGAAUGAAAGCAAG
Molecule: long non-coding RNA, 3128 nt
Organism: Dermacentor andersoni
Lineage: Eukaryota; Metazoa; Arthropoda; Arachnida; Ixodida; Ixodidae
Source: RefSeq, a predicted model, not a curated record